This 360-nucleotide ribosomal RNA is filed under the name uncultured bacterium. Its description in RNAcentral is "bacterial SSU rRNA". It matches the Rfam family "Bacterial small subunit ribosomal RNA", at positions 8 to 398 of the family's 1533-position model. The record is from RNAcentral.
AGAGUUUGAUCCUGGCUCAGAACGAACGCUGGCGGCAGGCUUAACACAUGCAAGUCGAGCGCCCCGCAAGGGGAGCGGCAGACGGGUGAGUAACGCGUGGGAAUCUACCCAUCUCUACGGAAUAACGCAUGGAAACGUGUGCUAAUACCGUAUACGUCCUUCGGGAGAAAGAUUUAUCGGAGAUGGAUGAGCCCGCGUUGGAUUAGCUAGUUGGUGGGGUAAAGGCCUACCAAGGCGACGAUCCAUAGCUGGUCUGAGAGGAUGAUCAGCCACACUGGGACUGAGACACGGCCCAGACUCCUACGGGAGGCAGCAGUGGGGAAUAUUGGACAAUGGGCGCAAGCCUGAUCCAGCCAUGCC